Non-coding RNA from Pelobates cultripes (western spadefoot toad), 274 nucleotides. The record is from the annotation of a GenBank genome assembly. Lineage: Eukaryota; Metazoa; Chordata; Amphibia; Anura; Pelobatidae.
AUCUUAUUCUUUAUUUAUUUUUAUAUGCAACAAUAUAUGAUUUUUAAAUGAGUCUUAGAUUCAUAUGACUUCCUUUGUGAACAUUAUUACUAAAUAAAUGCUAACUCUUCAUACGGCAUUAUCACCUUUGGGCACAUUAGUAUUAUAGUAUGUUUGACAAACUUGAGUAAAAUGGAUGCAUGAAAUAAGAGAUGCUUUGUCAUUUGAUCACAAGAGCAUAUUUGGUUAUGAUACCCCAAACAUAAGCUCUAACCUUAAUCUGAAAUUAACGCAC